Molecule: ribosomal RNA, 502 nt
Filed under: uncultured bacterium
Lineage: Bacteria
Description: bacterial SSU rRNA
Rfam family: Bacterial small subunit ribosomal RNA
Source: RNAcentral
AGAGUUUGAUCCUGGCUCAGAUUGAACGCUGGCGGCAUGCUUUACACAUGCAAGUCGAACGGGCUUAGGGGCUUGCUCCUAAGUUAGUGGCGAACGGGUGAGUAAUACAUCGGAACGUACCGUGUAGUGGGGGAUAACGUAGCGAAAGUUACGCUAAUACCGCAUACGAUCCACGGAUGAAAGUGGGGGACCUUCGGGCCUCACGCUAUACGAGCGGCCGAUGUCUGAUUAGCUAGUUGGUGAGGUAAAGGCUCACCAAGGCAACGAUCAGUAGCGGGUCUGAGAGGAUGAUCCGCCACACUGGGACUGAGACACGGCCCAGACUCCUACGGGAGGCAGCAGUGGGGAAUUUUGGACAAUGGGCGAAAGCCUGAUCCAGCCAUGCCGCGUGUCUGAAGAAGGCCUUCGGGUUGUAAAGGACUUUUGUCAGGGAGCAAAACUUAGAGGUUAAUAACCUUUGAGGUUGAGAGUACCUGAAGAAUAAGCACCGGCUAACUACGUG